UACGGAGGGUGCAAGCGUUAUCCGGAUUCACUGGGUUUAAAGGGUGCGUAGGUGGGUUGGUAAGUCAGUGGUGAAAUCUCCGAGCUUAACUUGGAAACUGCCAUUGAUACUAUCAGUCUUGAAUAUUGUGGAGGUUAGCGGAAUAUGUCAUGUAGCGGUGAAAUGCUUAGAUAUGACAUAGAACACCGAUAGCGAAGGCAGCUUGCUACACAGUUAUUGACACUGAGGCACGAAAGCGUGGGGAGCAAACAGG
This 253-nucleotide ribosomal RNA is filed under the name uncultured bacterium. RNAcentral's name for it is "partial 16S ribosomal RNA". It matches the Rfam family "Bacterial small subunit ribosomal RNA", at positions 524 to 776 of the family's 1533-position model. The record is from RNAcentral.